UACAGAGGUCCCGAGCGUUGUUCGGAUUCAUUGGGCGUAAAGGGUGCGUAGGUGGCGCCGUAAGUGGGGUGUGAAAUCCCGGGGCUUAACCCCGGGACUGCAUUCCAUACUGCGGUGCUUGAGGACUGGAGAGGAGACUGGAAUUUACGGUGUAGCAGUGAAAUGCAUAGAGAUCGUAAGGAAGACCAGUGGCGAAGGCGGGUCUCUGGACAGUUCCUGACACUGAGGCACGAAGGCCAGGGGAGCAAACGGG
This 253-nucleotide ribosomal RNA is filed under the name uncultured bacterium. RNAcentral describes it as "partial 16S ribosomal RNA". It matches the Rfam family "Bacterial small subunit ribosomal RNA", at positions 524 to 776 of the family's 1533-position model. The record is from RNAcentral.